RNAcentral lists this ribosomal RNA (318 nucleotides) under uncultured Treponema sp. RNAcentral's name for it is "bacterial SSU rRNA". It matches the Rfam family "Bacterial small subunit ribosomal RNA", at positions 355 to 661 of the family's 1533-position model. The record is from RNAcentral. Lineage: Bacteria; Pseudomonadati; Spirochaetota; Spirochaetia; Treponematales; Treponemataceae.
CUAAGAAUAUUUCCGGCAAUGGACGAAAGUCUGACGGAGCGACGCCGCGUGGAUGAAGAAGGCCGGAAGGUUGUAAAGUUCUUUUAAGUCAUGAAGAAGGAUUAUUGCAGGAAAUGGCAGUAAAGUGACGGUAGUGCUUGAAUAAGAGGCGGCUAAUUACGUGCCAGCAGCCGCGGUAACACGUAAGCCUCGAGCGUUGUUCGGAAUUAUUGGGCGUAAAGGGCAUGUAGGCGGAAUUGCAAGCUUGAUGUGAAAGGCAGGGGCGUUAACUCCUGGAUUGCGUUGAGAACUGCAUAACUAGAGUAACUGAGGGGCAGC